CACACCUCGCCUACCCUUUCACUUCAGUUUUAGAACUGAGAUUUCAGAGCCUUGCCUUUCCUUCCAGCCACUCUGCUCCUGCUGGAUUUCACCUCUAUCUCCUUCCCACCUCAACCUCGGGCAAUUACAUGUACGUAGCAGAAGGUACCAAGAACUUAUAGACCCUCCUUGCUGGUCACUGACUUUCUCCAUUCCCAGGGCUGGAAUGAGGCAAUUCCACCCUUUUGGACUUAAACAUCAGAGAAGUUGAAAAUGUGGUUGCAAGAAGGAAUCACGAUGCAGAGUUGGACUUUCUGUGUGCUGUGCCAGGUGCUUCCCUUCUGGGGAGCAAUGCAAGGCUCCCUGCAGAGUUGCUCCCCAGUUACCACAUGGAUCCCAGGAAUGAUGAGAGCCCUUUGCUCUUGCAAAUCAGAGGAAUUCCUG
This 423-nucleotide long non-coding RNA is filed under the name Gallus gallus (chicken). RNAcentral describes it as "lncRNA (ENSGALG00010027483.1)". Lineage: Eukaryota; Metazoa; Chordata; Aves; Galliformes; Phasianidae. The record is from RNAcentral.